Molecule: long non-coding RNA, 523 nt
Filed under: Ananas comosus (pineapple)
Lineage: Eukaryota; Viridiplantae; Streptophyta; Magnoliopsida; Poales; Bromeliaceae
Description: long non-coding RNA (ACOM_LNC035979)
Source: RNAcentral
UUUAGCAAAUGUACAGUUUUAAAAGGGAUAAUUGCCUAUAUACCCCUCAUACGUUUGAAACUAUUCGAUUUGCCCCUAUUUUUUUUUUCUUUCUAAAAUACCCCUCAUAUUUUCUACCGUUAUUGCAAAAUACCCCCGCAGUUAUCUCAUAUUAAGUUAACUUGGGUUAAAUGUGAAUUAAAUAUCUACAACAGUAAACAAAAAAAUACCAAUUUUGCCCUUAAUUUAAGGGCAAAUAAGAAAUAUUGGUGACGAUAGAGAGGUAUAUUGAAAAAGAUCAAAAGUCAAAAUACUUUUUGUGCCCCUAACUUUAAGGGCAAAUAAGAAAGUCAGUGAUGGUGGAAGGGUAUAUUUGAAAGGAUAAAAUAGUAAUUUUAUAGAGAUAACAGAGUUAAUUAACAGAUUUUAACUUUAGGGGUAUAUUAGAAAUAGGUUGGAACGUAGAAAGGGUAUUUUUAAUAUUAGCCUUCUAAGAGGGGUAAAUCGGAAAAUCGGAAACUUUUCAGGGAUAUAUAUGCAAUUG